GUAGAUAUAGUUUAACGAAAACAUUAGAUUGUGAUUCUGAAGACAGGGGUUAAAACCCCCUUAUCCACC
Molecule: transfer RNA, 69 nt
Filed under: Gigantura chuni (gigantura)
Lineage: Eukaryota; Metazoa; Chordata; Actinopteri; Aulopiformes; Giganturidae
Description: tRNA-His
Rfam family: tRNA
About the family: Transfer RNA (tRNA) molecules are approximately 80 nucleotides in length.
Source: RNAcentral